CUUUUUUUCUUUAUAAGUCUGGCUAAAGGUUCAUCAAUUGUAUAAUUUUUUUUUUUCUCUUUUUCCUAAGGUAAGCUUUUCUUAAUAUAAACUUCCGUCUUGGAAUUGCUUUUGCUCGAACCCAUAGGUUUUGCCCUGAGGCUCAUACAGUAUGGAAAGAGAAACUCACCCUGCCUGCAAAGAGAGGCUGACUCCUAGCUCCUCCUCGGCUGCAUCCAGGCACGUGAGGGCCACCCCCUUCUGCUUCACUUUGUUCUGUGAAAGACGUCACGAGGACUGCUCAAGAGCAAACUCUCUUCGGCAUCUCCUCAGCAGGUUGCAAGUUGACGGCCAUCCUCGUCUCGGUCCAGAAUACAGCUAAAUUUUUAUCCAAAAAUACAGAUAAGGUUCCUUUCCCCCAGCCUUGCUCUUCAUUGGCUUUUGAGCAGCGAGCCACCAGACCCCC
Molecule: long non-coding RNA, 445 nt
Organism: Bos mutus (wild yak)
Lineage: Eukaryota; Metazoa; Chordata; Mammalia; Artiodactyla; Bovidae
Source: Ensembl